GCAUAUCAAUAAGCGGAGGAAAAGAAACUAACAAGGAUUCCCCUAGUAACGGCGAGUGAAGAGGGAAGAGCCCAAGAUUGAAAGCUGGCGUCUUCGGCGUCCGCAUUGUAAUCUCAAGAAGUGUUUUCCGCUUCGGACCAUGCCUAAGUCCCUUGGAAAAGGGCAUCAUAGAGGGUGAUAAUCCCGUACAUGGCAUGGAGCGCCCGAAGCUUUGUGAUACGCUUUCUAAGAGUCGAGUUGUUUGGGAAUGCAGCUCAAAAUGGGUGGUAAAUGCCAUCUAAGGCUAAAUAUUGGGGAGAGACCGAUAGCGAACAAGUACAGUGAUGGAAAGAUGAAAAGAACUUUGAAAAGAGAGUUAAACAGUACGUGAAAUUGCCAAAAGGGAAGGGUAGGAGGUCAGAGAUGCGUCUUGGGAUUCAGCCUUGCUUUUGCUUGGUGUUUUUCCCAAGUUGCAGGCCAACGUCGGUUUUGGGCACUGGAGAAGGGUGGAAGGAACGUGGCACCUCUCGGGGUGUGUUAUAGCCUUCCACUGGAUACAGCGACCGAGACCGAGGACAGCAGCGUACUCGCAAGAGCGGGCCUUCGGGCACCUUUACGCUUAGGGCGUUGGCAUAAUGGCCCUCUACCACCCGUCUUGAAACACGGACC
RNAcentral lists this ribosomal RNA (648 nucleotides) under Sporisorium andropogonis. RNAcentral's name for it is "LSU rRNA". It matches the Rfam family "Eukaryotic large subunit ribosomal RNA", at positions 38 to 667 of the family's 3401-position model. Lineage: Eukaryota; Fungi; Basidiomycota; Ustilaginomycetes; Ustilaginales; Ustilaginaceae. The record is from RNAcentral.